ACUUCUCUUCUUCCAGCACUCCAGCCCUCUCUGUGGCCCUGGGACCUCAUUUGGCAGGCUGUUGGCUCACCCCAGAGUGGCAGAUAAGAGUUGUGAGUGCGCACAGCCCAUUAAAAGCUGUUCAGAUCUGCCUACCUUGGGGCAUUUUGAGGCAGAUCUCCUUGGAGGAGUCUCUGAUUCCAGACCAAUGGCUCUAUAAGGUCAUAGGUACGAGUGGCAGGGAGCAUCUGUGACCAAAAGGACCAAGCUGGCAGAAGUAUCCUCAUUUACCAAUAUCAAAUCUGAGACCUGGUGAGACUUGGGUGACCAUCUGGUUGGAAUCUUGGAAUACCUUCUAUCAUCUUUAGAAUGAAUGAGAAAGUUUCACGAGUAUAGGUUGUUUCCAAUUUCUGGAUACUAUGAAUAGAGCAGCAAUGAACAUGGCUGACCAAGUGGUUCUGUGGUGUAGGAUACCAUUUCCUGUUGCAUGCAAGAUAUAGGACUCCCAGCUACUUCUCCAGCACCAUGUCUGUCUGCCUGCCGCCAUGUCUCACCAUAAUGAUAAUGGACUGAAUUUCUGAAACUGUAAGCCAUACCAGUUAAAUGUUUACCUUUAUAAAAGUUGCCAUGGACAUGGUGUCUCUUCUCAGCAAUAGAAACCCCAACUAAGACAAUGCCCAAGAGUGUAAUGCCUGGAUCUUGAGGUAGAUCAGUGCCCAUCUUCCUGAGGAGCUGUCACACGAAAUCCAUAGUGACUGUACAAGUUUGCAGUCCUAACAACAAUGGACGAGUGUUCACCCCUUCACCACAUCCUUGCCAGCAGGAGCUGUCAUUUGCCUUAUUCAUCUUGGUCAUUCUGAUGGGUGUUAAGAGGAAAGAGGACGGGCGUGGUUUUGAUUUGCAUUUCCCUGUUGAUUAAGGAUGUUGAACAUUUCUUGAAGUGUCUCUCAGCCAUCUGAGUUUUGUCUUUUGAGAAUUCUCUGUUUAAAUCCAUACCCCAUUUUUAAAUUGUAUUGUUUUUCUUGAUAUCCAGUUUUUGAGUUCUUUAUCUGUAUUAGUUAUUAGUCCUCAAUUAUAUAUGUAAUUGGUAAAAACAAAACAAAACAAAACAACCCCCCCCUUUUCUCAUUCUGUAGGCUGUUGCUUUUCUGAAUGGUGUCCCUUGCUGUGCAGAAACUUUUCAGUUUCAUAAGGUUCCAUUUAUUAAUUGUUGAUCUUAGUGCCUGUGCUAAUGGUUUUCCAUUCAGAAAGCUUUUUUUUUGUCCCAAUGAGUUCAAGGCUAUUCCCCACUUUCUCUUUUAUCAGAUUCAGCGUCUCUCUCUCUCUCUCUCUCUCUCUCUCUCUCUCUCUCUCUCUCUCUCUCUGUGUGUGUGUGUGUGUGUGUGUGUUUUAGAUCUUUGGUCCAUUUGCAGUUGAGUUUUGUUCAGGGUAAUAAAGGUGGAUCUGUUUGCAUUCUUCUAUUCUACAUGCAGCCAUCCAGUUUGCACAGCACCAUUUGUUGAAGAUGCUCUCUUUUUUUCCAUUGUGUAUUUCAG
Molecule: long non-coding RNA, 1514 nt
Filed under: Cricetulus griseus (Chinese hamster)
Lineage: Eukaryota; Metazoa; Chordata; Mammalia; Rodentia; Cricetidae
Description: lncRNA (ENSCGRG00015030425.1)
Source: RNAcentral